RNAcentral lists this non-coding RNA (30 nucleotides) under Mus musculus (house mouse). Lineage: Eukaryota; Metazoa; Chordata; Mammalia; Rodentia; Muridae. The record is from RNAcentral.
UUCAUUGUUAAGUAUCAAAGGCCCCUUUGG